This is a non-coding RNA of Oryctolagus cuniculus (rabbit), 4927 nucleotides long. Lineage: Eukaryota; Metazoa; Chordata; Mammalia; Lagomorpha; Leporidae. The record is from RefSeq and is a predicted model, not a curated record.
UUUGUCCCUUUGGGACUGGCUUAUUUCACUCAGCAUGAUGUGUUCCAGAUUCCUCCAUUUUGUUGCAAAUGACUGGAUUUUGUUGUUUCUUACUGCGGUAUAGUAUUCUAAAGAGUACAUAUCCCAUAAUUUCUUUAUCCAGUCUACCGUUGAUGGGCAUUUAGGUUGGUUCCAGGUCUUAGCUAUUGUGAAUUGAGCUGCAAUAAACAUUAGGCUGCAGACCGCUUUUUUGUUUGCCAAUUUAAAUUCCUUUGGGUAAAUUCCAAGGAGUGGGAUGGCUGGGUCGAACGGUAGGGUUAUCUUCAGGUUUCUGAGGAAUCUCCAGACUGACUUCCAUAGUGGCUUGACCAGUUUGCAUUCCCACCAACAGUGGGUUAGUGUCCCUUUUUCCCCACAACCUCGCCAGCAUCUGUUGUUGGUAGAUUUCUGAAUGUGAGCCAUUCUAACCGGGGUGAGGUGAAACCUCAUUGUGGUUUUGAUUUGCAUUUCCCUGAUUGCUAGUGAUGCUGAACAUUUUUUCAUGUGUCUGUUGGCCAUUUGAUUUCUUCGUUUGAAAAAUGUCUAUUGAGGUCCUUGGCCCAUCUCUUAAGUGGGUUGUUUGUUUUGUUUUUGUGGAGUUUCUGGAGUUCUUUGUAGAUUCUGGUUAUUAACCCUUUGUCUGUUGCAUAGUUUGCAAAUAUUUUUUCCCAUUCUGUCGGUUGUCUCUUCACUUUCCUGACUGUUUCUUUUGAAGUACAGAAACUUCUCAGUUUGAUGCAAUCCCAAAUGUUAAUUUUGGCUUUGAUUGCCUGUGCCUCUGGGGUCUUUUCCAAGAAGUCUUUGCCGGUAUCUAUAUCUUGCAGGGUUUCUCCAAUGUUUUCUAAUAAUUUGAUGGUAUCGGGUCAUAGAUUUAGGUCUUUAAUGCAUGUUAAGUGGAUUUUUGCAUAAGAUAUAAGGUAAGGGUCUUGCUUCAUGAUUCUGCACGUGGAAAUCCAGUGUUCCCAGCACUGUUUAUUGAAUAGACUGUCCUUACUCCAGGGAUUGGUUUUGGAUCCUUGAUCAAAUAUAAGUUGGCUGUAGAUGUUUGGAUUGAUUUCUGGUGUUUCUAUGCUGUUCCAUUGGUCUAUCCUUCUGUUUCUGUACCAGUACCAUGCUGUUUUGAUUACAACUGCCCUGUAGUACGUCCUGAAAUCUGGUAUUGUGAUGCCUCCAGCUUUGUUUUUGUUGUACAAGAUUGCUUUAGCUAUUCGAGGUCUCCUGUGUCUCCAUAUGAAUUUCAGCAUCAUUUUUUCCAGAUCUGAGAAGAAGGUCUUCGGUAUCUUGAUUGGUAUUGCAUUGAAUCGAUAAAUUGCUUUUGGGGGAAUGGACAUUUUGAUGAUAUUGAUUCUUCCAAUCCAUGAGCAUGGAAGAUUUUUCCAUUUUUUGGUUCUCUCUUCUAUUUCUUUCUUUAAGGUUUUGUAAUUUUCAUCGUAGAGAUCUUUAACUUCCUUGGUUAAGUUUAUUCCAGGGUAUUUGAUUGUUUUUGUAGCUAUUGUGAAUGGGAUUGAUCUUAGAAGUUCUUCCUCAGCCGUGGCAUUGUCUGUGUAUAUAAAGGCUGUUGAUUUUGUGCAUUGAUUUUAUACCCUGCUACUUUGCCAAGCUCUUCUAUGAGUUCCAAUAGUCUCUUAGUAGAGUUCUUUGGAUCCCCUAAAUAAAGAAUCAUAUCAUCUGCAAAGAGGGAUAGUUUGAGUUCUUCCUUCCCAAUUUGUAUCCCUUUCAUUUCUUUUUCUUGCCUAAUAGCUCUGGCUAAAACUUCCAGACCUAUAUUGAAUAGCAGUGGUGAGAGUGGGCAUCCCUGUCAGGUAGCAGAUCUCAGUGGGAAUGCUUCCAACUUUUCCCCAUUCAAUAGGAUGUUGGCCGUGGGUUUUUCAUAGAUUGCUUUGAUUGUAUUGAGGAAUGUUCCUUCCAUACCCAGUUUGCUUAGAGUUUUCUUCAUGAAAGAGUGUUGUAUUUUAUCAAAUGCUUUCUCUGCAUCUAUUGAGAUAAUCAUAUGGUUUUUAUUCUGCCGUCUGUUAAUGUGGUGUAUCACAUAGAUUGAUUUGCGAACACUGAACCAUCCCUGCAUACCCUGGAUAAAUCCCACUUGGUCUGGGUGGAUGAUCCUUCUGAUUUCUUGUUGCAUUUUAUUGGCCAGAAUUUUAUUGAGGAUUUUUACGUCUAUAUUCAUCAGGAUAAUUGGUCUUUAAUUCUUUCUCUGCUACAUCUUUUUCAGGUUUAGGAAUUAAAGUGAUGCUGGCUUCAUAGAAAGAAUUUGGGAGGAUUUCCUCUUUUUAAAUUGUUCUGAAUAGUUUGAGAAGAAUUGGAGUUAGUUCUUUUAAAGAUGUCUGGUAGAAUUCAGCAGUGAAUCCAUCCAGUCCUCGGCUUUUCUUUGUUUGGAGGGCCUUUAUUGCUGAAUCAGUUUCUGACUCGGUUAUGGGUCUGUUUAGGUUUUCCGUGUAUUAAUGGUUCAAUCUAGGUAGGUUGUAUGUGUUCAGGAAUCUAUCCGUUUCUGAUAGAUUUCCCUGUUUGGUGGCAAAAAACUCUUUGUUGUAAUUUCUGGUGACUCCUUAUUUCUGUGGUGUCUGUUAUAUUCCCUUUUUCUUCUCUGAUUUUAUUGAUUUGGGUCUUCUCUCUCCAUUUUUUGGUAGUUGGGCCAAUGGUGUGUCAAAAUUUUGUUUGUUUUGAAACACCGCUGUUCAUUUUGCUGAUCUUUUGUAAUUUUUUUAAUUCAAUUCUAUUGAUUUCUUCUAAUAUUCUGGGUCCUGCGCUGUGGCGCAAUGGGUUACAGCCCUGGCCUGAAGCGCUGGCAUCCCCUAUGGGCACUGGUUCUAGUUCCAGCUGCUCCUCUUCCGAUCCAGCUCUCUGCUAUGGCCUGGGAAAGCAGUAGAAGAGCCCAAGUCUUUGGGCCCCUGCACCCACAUGGGAGAGCCGGAAGAAUCUCCUGCCUGGCUUUGAGUCGGUGCAGCUCCGGCUGUUGUAGCCAUCUGGGGAUUGAACCAGCGGAUGGAAGACCUCUCUCUUUCUACCUCUCUCUGUAACUCUGUCUUUCAAAUAAGUAAAGUAAAUCUUAAAAAAAAAAAAUGUUCAUUAUAGGGUAUUUGGGGAGAUAGUUAUUGUUUAUUAUUUCAAAUGGAAGCAGACAUAUGGGAAAGUAAGCAUAAAUACCAAAGUUUAGAGUACUAAGUGAAACUGAGUUUUUGCCAUGGCAGGGAGGGGGUGGAAAUCCCUGAUUAUCCUUGGUAGGAAUCUCAAGUUGGAAUUGGUACUAAUUUGACCAUUAUCCUCAAACUAUUUUUAAAAUAUGAAUGUGUGUGUCUGUGUAUGUGUGUGAAUUUGAAAGGCAGAAAGAGACUGACAAGGAGUGAUCUCUCAUCAACUAAUUCACUCCCCAAAUGCCCACAGUUACCAGGGAUUGGCUAUGAUGAAGUCAGGAGUCAGGAACUAAAUCCUCGUCUCUGAUGUAGGUGGAAAGGACCCAGCUAUUUGAACCAUCAUCUGCUGCCUCCCAGGAAAUGUAUCUGCUGAUUCACUACCCAAAUGGCUGCAAUGUCUGGGGCUAGGCCUGGCGGAAGCCAGGCGUCCACAGAGUUCCAUCUGGGUCUCCCACAUGGGAGUCAGGGGCCCAAGUAAUCAUUUGCUGCUGCUGCUGCUUUUUUAAAGAUUUAUUUAUUGUAAAGGCAGAGUAAUGGAAAGGAAGAGACACAGUGUGAAAAACAUAUUUUAUCCACUGGUUCACUCCCCCACAAUAGCUAGGGCUGGGAAAAGCCAAAGCAGGAGAUGGAAACCAGAGCAGCCAAGACUCUCUCGCUCCAUGGCAUGCCAGCAAUGCGUGGGCAGCUUAUUGUGUCAUAACACCAGUCUCUAUUAACAUGUUUGAUCAGCUGAUUUUUUUCCCAUAAACCACCUUUUAGUAAUUCCUCAGAAUAAUUAUAGUUCACUUUGAUCAAUGAAUGAUUGCCUGUUUAUAAGCAUUUGUGUGCAUAGAUCUACAUAAAUUAUGUCAGAUUGAUAAAGAUUUCUUAGUUGAAUUCUGCAAAGUCCUUGGUCUUUGAAUACACAGAUAUUAAUGGAGAACUAACUUUUAAGAAUUUGACAUAUUAUUGAAGUAUUCUAUCCAAAAAAGCAGUGUCUACCAAAUCCUUACGUUUCCUAAUAUAAACACAUUAAUAAGUAAGCUUUGUUUUGCAGGCAGUUAUUUCUUAUCAGUGAAUUACUGUUGGGAGGAAGGGGGAGGUAAAAGCCAGUGUGGAGUUGCUGGUGGCAAUUUAAUUAAGUUCCUUUAUAAGUGAUUCAAGCAUGAGAGCUGAAUUUUCUAUAAAUUUAAAUUUGCUGUUAAUCUCUUGUGGUGAUUAUCCUUUCUGGGUUUCUAGGUUUCAUUUUUUUCUUGUUCUAGUGAAACCCUUACAACAUUUUUUGUUCACCUGGUUAAAGAAUGUUGUGUUUAUCUCAUCUGGGAGUUGGGUAUGUGAGGAACAAAUGAUUGGAUGAGGACAGUUUUUAUUUAGAAUGCUAAGCUAAGGGUAAAAUUCAUAUUGGUUCACCUUAAGCAGUAAUAAGAUGUAUUAUGUGUUAAGCAGUAUGCUAAGCACUUGACCUUCCCUGUGGCAUGGAGGCGAUUGGGAGUGCAUGCUAGAAAGCAAAAGAUGAGAAGAAACAGGCACUGACUCUUCAGGUCAUGAUUUUGUCAUUUUAGUAAUAAUCUGUAUAGCAUACUAUUAUGUUGCAGUGUAUUUGUGACUCUGGUAGCAGCAGAUUCUUUCUAUUUGUAUGAUUAUUGUCCUUUCUUGGUAGAUGAUUCAUUACUGUGCUUUAAAAUCUGCAGUACACUGGGAUCAUGUUUCAUGAACUGUAUUUCAAGCACCAUUUGUUCUGCAAAAUGUGGAUAGUGGUAAAAAAAAAAGGGGGCGGGGGAGAAUCCUGUAUUCUGAAA